Molecule: ribosomal RNA, 498 nt
Filed under: uncultured bacterium
Lineage: Bacteria
Description: partial 16S ribosomal RNA
Rfam family: Bacterial small subunit ribosomal RNA
Source: RNAcentral
ACUCAAAGGAAUUGACGGGGGUCCGCACAAGCGGUGGAGCAUGUGGUUUAAUUCGAUACUACGCGAGGAACCUUACCUAGGCUAGAAUGUAAUUUGACAGGUUUAGAGAUAGACUUUUCCUUCGGGACAAAUUACAAGGUGCUGCAUGGCCGUCGUCAGCUCGUGCCGUGAGGUGUAUGGUUAAGUCCUAUAACGAGCGCAACCCCUAUACUUAGUUGCCAGCAUGUAAAGAUGGGGACUCUAAGUAGACUGCCUGCGCAAGCAGUGAGGAAGGAGGGGACGAGGUCAGGUCAUCAUGGCCCUUACGCCUAGGGCGACACACGUGCUACAAUGGCGUGUAUAGAAGGAAGCUACCUGGUAACAGGAUGCCAAUCCCCAAAGCACGUCUCAGUUCGGAUUGAGGUCUGCAACUCGACCUCAUGAAGCUGGAAUCGCUAGUAAUCGCGCAUCAGCCAUGGCGCGGUGAAUACGUUCCCGGACCUUGUACACACCGCCCGU